UACAGGGUCAGCCAUAGUAGUAUGAUAGGUGCAGUGAAAUGUGUUGUUUUACAGGGUCAGCCAUAGUAGUAUGAUAGGUGCAGUGAAAUGUGUUGUUUUACAGGGUCAGCCAUAGUAGUAUGAUAGGUGCAGUGAAAUGUGUUGUUUUACAGGGUCAGCCAUAGUAGUAUGAUAGGUGCAGUGAAAUGUGUUGUUUUACAGGGUCAGCCAUAGUAGUAUGAUAGGUGCAGUGUAAUGUGUUGUUUUACAGGGUCAGCCAUAGUAGUAUGAUAGGUGCAGUGAAAUGUGUUGUUUUACAGGGUCAGCCAUAGUGCAGUGAAAUGUGUUGUUUUACAGGGUCAGCCAUAGUAGUAUGAUAGGUGCAGUGUAAUGUGUUGUUUUACAGGGUCAUCCAUAGUAGUAUGAUAGGUGCAGUGUAAUGUGUUGUUUUACAGGGUCAGCCAUAGUAGUAUGAUAGGUGCAGUGAAAUGUGUUGUUUUACAGGGUCAGCCAUAGUAGUAUGAUAGGUGCAGUGUAAUGUGUUGUUUUACAGGGUCAGCCAUAGUAGUAUGAUAGGUGCAGUGUAAUGUGUUGUUUUACAGGGUCAGCCAUAGUAGUAUGGUAGGUGCAGUGUAAUGUGUUGUUUUACAGGGUCAGCCAUAGUAGUAUGAUAGGUGCAGUGAAAUGUGUUGUUUUACAGGGUCAGCCAUAGUAGUAUGAUAGGUGCAGUGAAAUGUGUUGUUUUACAGGGUCAGCCAUAGUAGUAUGAUAGGUGCAGUGUAAUGUGUUGUU
This is a long non-coding RNA of Oncorhynchus keta (chum salmon), 771 nucleotides long. RefSeq lists it as uncharacterized. Lineage: Eukaryota; Metazoa; Chordata; Actinopteri; Salmoniformes; Salmonidae. The transcript has 9 exons. The record is from RefSeq and is a predicted model, not a curated record.